UACGUAGGGGGCAAGCGUUGUCCGGAUUUAUUGGGCGUAAAGAGCGUGUAGGCGGCCAUUCAGGUCAGCUGUGAAAACUCGAGGCUCAACCUCGAGACGUCGGUUGAAACCGUUUGGCUAGAGUCCGGAAGAGGAGAGUGGAAUUCCCGGUGUAGCGGUGAAAUGCGCAGAUAUCGGGAAGAACACCCGUGGCGAAGGCGGCUCUCUGGGACGGUACUGACGCUGAGACGCGAAAGCGUGGGGAGCAAACAGG
Molecule: ribosomal RNA, 253 nt
Filed under: uncultured bacterium
Lineage: Bacteria
Description: partial 16S ribosomal RNA
Rfam family: Bacterial small subunit ribosomal RNA
Source: RNAcentral